RNAcentral lists this long non-coding RNA (598 nucleotides) under Homo sapiens (human). RNAcentral describes it as "HSALNT0243599". Lineage: Eukaryota; Metazoa; Chordata; Mammalia; Primates; Hominidae. The record is from RNAcentral.
GGCUAUUGUGCUGGGGGAGCCCAGCAGGGGUGUGAGACAGGCUGGAGUCAGCAAAGGGGUGUGUGUGUACAUGUGUGAGGCGCUGGGCAGAAGACCCCGUGGUGAGGGGGUCAGAGAGCAGCUGGCUGGCUGACUGACUGACUCCUGGGUGUGGAGGGAAGUGCCCAGCUAGAGAGCUGUGCUGUCCUCAGCCUUGCAAGCAGCCUGCAGCUGUGGUGGCUUCCCCAUGUGUCAUCCAAGGCUUUUCACCCUGAAAGCUGCUUGGAGAGGGAGCAGAGGUCGAUAGCAGAGAGAAGGGGCUCUAGCACUUGUGCUUUGCAAAGAAGUUUCGCGGCUGUGUUGCUUCACAACCUAGCCAUAUGCAAGAUUAGGAAGCCAUAAGCCUGUCCUGCCCCUAGAAACUGCAUCUUCCUGCUCCGGAGUGUCCUAAUUGGGGCCCCUAUGAUCUCACACAUCCUGGCCUCUGCCAGUGCCGUUCCAUCGCUUUGGCCGCCUGAGCAUCUUGGAGAACUCAGCUUAGGCGUCACCUCCAGCCUUCCUCUGGGCUCUCACAGCGCCUUGUGCAUCUCUCCCUUGCUCCAAACACCGUAUCGUGUUG